UGGUAAUGCCGGAUGCUCCAGUUGGAUGCAUGUCCUUCUGGGAAAGAUUCAUCGGUAUGGGAUGGGGUCGCGUCCUAUCAGCUUGAUGGCGGGGUAACGGCCCACCAUGGCUUCGACGGGUAGCCGGCCUGAGAGGGCGACCGGCCACAUUGGGACUGAGAUACGGCCCAGACUCCUACGGGAGGCAGCAGUGGGGAAUAUUGCACAAUGGGCGCAAGCCUGAUGCAGCGACGCCGCGUGCGGGAUGACGGCCUUCGGGUUGUAAACCGCUUUUGACUGGGAGCAAGCCCUUCGGGGUGAGUGUACCUUUCGAAUAAGCACCGGCUAACUACGUGCCAGCAGCCGCGGUAAUACGUAGGGUGCAAGCGUUAUCCGGAAUUAUUGGGCGUAAAGGGCUCGUAGGCGGUUCGUCGCGUCCGGUGUGAAAGUCCAUCGCUUAACGGUGGAUCCGCGCCGGGUACGGGCGGGCUUGAGUGCGGUAGGGGAGACUGGAAUUCCCGGUGUAACGGUGGAAUGUGUAG
RNAcentral lists this ribosomal RNA (521 nucleotides) under Bifidobacterium adolescentis. Its description in RNAcentral is "bacterial SSU rRNA". It matches the Rfam family "Bacterial small subunit ribosomal RNA", at positions 161 to 693 of the family's 1533-position model. Lineage: Bacteria; Bacillati; Actinomycetota; Actinomycetes; Bifidobacteriales; Bifidobacteriaceae. The record is from RNAcentral.